RNAcentral lists this ribosomal RNA (274 nucleotides) under uncultured bacterium. Its description in RNAcentral is "partial 16S ribosomal RNA". It matches the Rfam family "Bacterial small subunit ribosomal RNA", at positions 523 to 796 of the family's 1533-position model. The record is from RNAcentral.
AUACGGAAGGUGCGAGCGUUAUCCGGAAUCACUGGGUUUAAAGGGUGCGUAGGCGGCAUGAUAAGUCAGAGGUGAAAGCCCUCAGCUUAACUGAGGAAUUGCCUUUGAUACUGUUGUGCUUGAAAGGGGAUGAGGUGAGCGGAAUGUGGCAUGUAACGGUGAAAUGUGUAGAUAUGUCAUAGAACACCGAUUGCGAAGGCAGCUCACCGGGCCUACUUUGACGCUCAGGCACGAAAGCGUGGGGAGCGAACAGGAUUAGAUACCCUAGUAGUCC